Long non-coding RNA from Gossypium arboreum, 1664 nucleotides. RefSeq lists it as uncharacterized. The transcript is spliced from 3 exons. Lineage: Eukaryota; Viridiplantae; Streptophyta; Magnoliopsida; Malvales; Malvaceae. The record is from RefSeq and is a predicted model, not a curated record.
AAUAAAUAAUAAUGUUAAUAUAUGUUAUAUUAUAACAUAAUUAGAAAGCCAAAGUUUUACUCUUAUUUCUCAUGACCGAAUAACGUAAAGAAAGAAAAGAAAAGAAAGCUAGGGCAUUCGGCCAUUGUUGGGUUUGAUUAAGAUUUUGGAGUCAAGUUACGAGCUCAGGGAUCGUCAGCAAAGUCUAUCACACUAUCGACUGUCUUCGGUAUCUUUAUAAGUGAACUUUUGAAUCUAUGGCAUGUAUAGGCUGGAUUAUGUUUUGAAAUGUUGGAUUUUGGUUAUGUGUAAUCAAAGCCAUGCGAAAAUGGCUUAACUUUUUUGUUUGAAUUUGGUUAUGUUGAUUAUGGUUUAUGUUCAUUUUGAUUAUAAUGUUAUAUGCUAUGAAUGCAUAGUAAUUGUGGUAGGUAUUAUAUGCUUUGAUAAUGGUUGAUGAUUUUGGAUGUACAUGUGGUUGGUUCAGCUAAGGUUAUGCAUGGAUGGAAGUAUAUGUGAAUUUGGUUAUCAUAUUGACUUAUUUAGGAUGUGUAAUUUUUCUUGUGAAUUGGUUUGGAGAUAGCAAAAGAUGUGCCUUUAUAAUCGGCUAGUGAUGGGUAAAAUAUAUCCAUAUGCUUAUGACAUGUUGUUUGUGGUUUGGUAUUUAAAGGUCAAGUUGCUAGUGAAAUGAUUGAUUAUUAUAUGUACUAUAUAUAUACGUGGUAGCAAUUCGGCCUUGGUAUGUGGUUCAUUUAAUAAGCAUGUGACUUGAUAAUGGUGUGACCGAUUAAGGUUAUAAUUGUAACAGCCCAUUUUUAGGGUUAAUUGGAACAGUGGUUUCGGGGCCACCAAAUCCGACGAGUAGGUUUGUAAAUAUUAUAUUUAAUAUUUACGAGUUAAUUGUGAUUUUAAAAAUGUUUUUGAUAUUGUGAUAUUUGUUUUAUAAGUGAUUUAUUCAGUUCAAGUGGUAUGACCCUAAGGUCAAGUGGGUUUAGGAAAUGAUGUAUCGGGACCUCAUUUAUAUAAACCGAGUCGUAAAUAUUUUUAUAAAUAUUUACGGAGUGGCAAAAAGAUGGUAUUAAAGUUUCGUUGAAAAAUUUUAUCGUUUCGAUAGUUAAUUAAGCAAAAAGGACUAAAUCGCGUAAAAUGAAAAAGUUACAUUCUAAUUGUUUAAGUGUUUAUUUUCCAUGUUUUACUAAAGUAUAAGUCCCUAUUUAUCAAUUAAACCAUUACUUUAUGAUAGUGGAGAUUGGUGGUUUGGCAUAUAUGAAAUUAUGUAUUAUUAUAAAGGACAAAAAGGUAAAUGGAAUAUUAAAAUGUAUUAAAUAAAAAUAAAACAUAAAAUGGCCAUGCAAAUUUUAUCUCUUGGCCGAAUAUGGAGGAGAAAAGAAAGCCAUUGAAGCUUCCUUAGUUUUGGCAUUUGCAUGAAGUGAUUUAGGGUUGCCAUGUUAGCUCGGGUUGGAGGCCGUCAGAGAUAUUAUCACAUUGUCAAGUCUACGCUAUCGGCGUAAGUAAAUCUUAGUGUUUCGAGUCUAUGGCAUGUAUAGGGUUGUAAAGUUGAGUAAGUAAAUGAUACAAGACUAAGAUAUUGGUAAAUAUUUAAUAAUGCCUCAUGAAUAUUUUGGGCCUUGUAAGCCCGAUUAAAGGAUAAUAUACGUGUGUAUGAAAAGUUUAAAAUUGAUCAAAAA